This 494-nucleotide ribosomal RNA is filed under the name uncultured bacterium. RNAcentral's name for it is "bacterial SSU rRNA". It matches the Rfam family "Bacterial small subunit ribosomal RNA", at positions 8 to 522 of the family's 1533-position model. The record is from RNAcentral.
AGAGUUUGAUCAUGGCUCAGGACAAACGCUGGCGGCGUGCGUAACACAUGCAAGUCGGACGGGCGGCUGUUUUCGGACAGUUUGCCAGUGGCGGACGGGUGAGUAACACGUGAAUGACCUGCCUUGCGAUGGGGGAUAGCUCUCAGAAAUGGGGGAUAAUACCGCAUGCGACGGUAGCCGUAGGGGUUAUCGGGAAAGCCGGAAGGCGUCGCAAGAGGGGUUCGCGGCCGAUUAGCUAGUUGGAGGGGUAACGGCCCACCAAGGCGACGAUCGGUAGCUGGUCUGAGAGGAUGAUCAGCCACACUGGGAUUGAGAACGGCCCAGACUCCUACGGGGGGCAGCAGUGAGGAAUCUUCGGCAAUGGGCGCAAGCCUGACCGAGCAACGCCGCGUGCGGGACGAAGGCCUUCGGGUCGUAAACCGCUUUUCCCAGGGGAGAGAACGGACGGUACCUGGGAAGAAGCCUCGGCUAACUACGUGCCAGCAGCCGCGGUA